GACGAACGCUGGCGGCGUGCUUAACACAUGCAAGUCGAACGCUGAAGCUCAGCUUGCUGGGUGGAUGAGUGGCGAACGGGUGAGUAACACGUGAGUAACCUGCCCUCUUCUUUGGGAUAACGCCCGGAAACGGGUGCUAAUACUGGAUAUUCACUGAUUCUCGCAUGGGGGUUGGUGGAAAGGUUUUUUCUGGUGGGGGAUGGGCUCGCGGCCUAUCAGCUUGUUGGUGGGGUGAUGGCCAACCAAGGCUUUGACGGGUAGCCGGCCUGAGAGGGUGACCGGUCACAUUGGGACUGAGAUACGGCCCAGACUCCUACGGGAGGCAGCAGUGGGGAAUAUUGCACAAUGGGCGAAAGCCUGAUGCAGCGACGCCGCGUGAGGGAUGGAGGCCUUCGGGUUGUAAACCUCUUUCGCUCAUGGUCAAGCCGCAGCGUUGGGUUGUGGUGAGGGUAGUGGGUAAAGAGGCGCCGGCUAACUACGUG
RNAcentral lists this ribosomal RNA (482 nucleotides) under uncultured bacterium. Its description in RNAcentral is "partial 16S ribosomal RNA". It matches the Rfam family "Bacterial small subunit ribosomal RNA", at positions 28 to 507 of the family's 1533-position model. The record is from RNAcentral.